RNAcentral lists this long non-coding RNA (312 nucleotides) under Vigna radiata. RNAcentral describes it as "long non-coding RNA (VRAD_LNC006363)". The record is from RNAcentral. Lineage: Eukaryota; Viridiplantae; Streptophyta; Magnoliopsida; Fabales; Fabaceae.
GUCACUUCCCAUAUCAUUUCAUUUAUAAAAAAUAACCUCAGCUAAAGUACAAUUUCAAGUGCGAAGCAUUCCAGGUGUUUGUUAUUUGCCGUCCGUCCAACUUUGUAAGUCGGUAUGCGCCGUUGCCGAGAACUUCUAUAAUCUUAAACGGGCCCUCCCAUCUGGCUGCCAGCUUGCCGUGAGCCAUUGUACGCCGAGCUUCCCCCGUUUUUCUCCACACGAGAUCCCCUUCUUGAAAACUUCGAGGACGCACCUUGGUAUUGUAUUUCCGUUCGGUCAUUCUUCGACAAGCUUCCGCCCGUAAAACCGCCC